RNAcentral lists this non-coding RNA (26 nucleotides) under Homo sapiens (human). The record is from RNAcentral. Lineage: Eukaryota; Metazoa; Chordata; Mammalia; Primates; Hominidae.
UGCAACAGAGGACUGCCUGUCGUGGA